This 254-nucleotide ribosomal RNA is filed under the name uncultured bacterium. RNAcentral describes it as "partial 16S ribosomal RNA". It matches the Rfam family "Bacterial small subunit ribosomal RNA", at positions 524 to 776 of the family's 1533-position model. The record is from RNAcentral.
UACGUAGGGCGCAAGCGUUGUCCGGAAUUAUUGGGCGUAAAGAGCUCGUAGGCGGCCUGUUGCGUCCGCUGUGAAAUCCCGGGGCUCAACCCCGGGCCUGCAGUGGAUACGGGCUGGCUGGAGGCAGGCAGGGGAGAACGGAAUUCCUGGUGUAGCGGUGAAAUGCGCAGAUAUCAGGAGGAACACCGGUGGCGAAGGCGGUUCUCUGGGCCUGUUCUGACGCUGAGGAGCGAAAGCGUGGGGGAGCGAACAGG